UACGUAGGCAGCAAGCGUUGUUCGGAGUUACUGGGCGUAAAGAGUGCGUAGGCGGUCCUGUAAGUUUGGUGUGAAAUCUCACGGCUCAACUGGGAGGGUGCGCCGAAGACUGCAGGGCUUGAGUAUGGGAGAGGUAAGCGGAAUUCCUGGUGUAGCGGUGAAAUGCGUAGAUAUCAGGAGGAACACCUGUGGUGUAGACAGCUUCCUGGACCAUAACUGACGCUGAGGCACGAAAGCGUGGGUAGCAAACAGG
This 253-nucleotide ribosomal RNA is filed under the name uncultured bacterium. RNAcentral describes it as "partial 16S ribosomal RNA". It matches the Rfam family "Bacterial small subunit ribosomal RNA", at positions 524 to 776 of the family's 1533-position model. The record is from RNAcentral.